Molecule: ribosomal RNA, 497 nt
Filed under: uncultured bacterium
Lineage: Bacteria
Description: partial 16S ribosomal RNA
Rfam family: Bacterial small subunit ribosomal RNA
Source: RNAcentral
GAUGAACGCUGGCGGCGUGCCUAACACAUGCAAGUCGAACGGACAGACGAGGAGCUUUUUCCUCUGAGGGUAGCGGCGGACGGGUGGGUAACAAGUGGAUAGCAAACUUCUAAUUCUUGGAGGACAACGGGAAGCCGGUGCUGCUAAUACAGAAUAUAUUGAACCGCUUGGUUCAAGGGUUAAGGACGGUUUUGGUGUCACUUAGAGAUGGAUCCGCGCCGCAUUAGCUAGUUGGUAAGGUAACGGCUUACCAAGGCGACGAUGCGUAGCCGACCUGAGAGGGUGAUCGGCCACACUGGAACUGAGACACGGUCCAGACUCCUACGGGAGGCAGCAGUAGGGAAUAUUCCGCAAUGGGCGAAAGCCUGAUGGAGCAACGCCGCGUGAGUGAUGAAGGUCUUCGGAUCGUAAAGCUCUGUUAUUAGGAAAGAACAACUGUGGAAUUAUCUAUGCGUGUCUUGACGGUACCUAAAGAGAAAGCCACGGCUAACUACGUG